Molecule: ribosomal RNA, 474 nt
Filed under: uncultured bacterium
Lineage: Bacteria
Description: partial 16S ribosomal RNA
Rfam family: Bacterial small subunit ribosomal RNA
Source: RNAcentral
GACGAACGCUGGCGGCGUGCUUAACACAUGCAAGUCGAGCGGUAAGGCUCCUUCGGGAGUACACGAGCGGCGAACGGGUGAGUAACACGUGAGUAAUCUGCCCUUCACUUCGGGAUAACCACCGGAAACGGUGGCUAAUACCGAAUACGACCAGUCUUCGCAUGAGGUGCUGGUGGAAAGUCUUUUCGGUGAAGGAUGUGCUCGCGGCCUAUCAGCUUGUUGGUGGGGUAAUGGCCUACCAAGGCUUCGACGGGUAGCCGGCCUGAGAGGGUGACCGGCCACACGGGGACUGAGACACGGCCCAGACUCCUACGGGAGGCAGCAGUGGGGAAUAUUGGACAAUGGGCGAAAGCCUGAUCCAGCAACGCCGCGUGAGGGAUGACGGCCUUCGGGUUGUAAACCUCUUUCAGUACCGACGAAGCGCCCUGUCGGGUGGUGACGGUAGGUACAGAAGAAGGACCGGCCAACUACGUG